CAGCUCAGGAACCUCCCAUAAGGAAUCUACCACAGUCACCAUCUCAGAUACAAGAAGCAGAGAGGGAUACAGCAGCCACUGGCCCCAGUCCUACAUAGAACAACUCCAGCAAAACUUACAUGAACAGGAGAGGCAACUCAAGGAAAAGGUUGAC
This is a long non-coding RNA of Haliotis rubra (blacklip abalone), 154 nucleotides long. RefSeq lists it as uncharacterized. Lineage: Eukaryota; Metazoa; Mollusca; Gastropoda; Lepetellida; Haliotidae. The transcript is spliced from 2 exons. The record is from RefSeq and is a predicted model, not a curated record.